RNAcentral lists this transfer-messenger RNA (374 nucleotides) under Rubrivivax sp. It matches the Rfam family "transfer-messenger RNA". Rfam says of the family: Bacterial tmRNA, also known as 10Sa RNA or SsrA, is named for its dual tRNA and mRNA-like properties. Its role is to liberate the mRNA from a stalled ribosome. The record is from RNAcentral. RNAcentral also lists the same sequence under 1 other name. Lineage: Bacteria; Pseudomonadati; Pseudomonadota; Betaproteobacteria; Burkholderiales; Sphaerotilaceae.
GGGGCCGACCUGGCUUCGACGUGGGUGCGGAGUCGGAUCAGGGCAUGCCGAGCGCCAGAACAGCUCGUAAAUCCAGCUGGAAACAAGUAACUGCGAACGACGAACGUUUCGCCCUCGCCGCUUAACACCGGUGAGCCUCUCAACGGUUGGCCGAUGGGCCGGGCUGAAGGUCGCAAGACCCUGAGCUGAGAGGUCAGUCACAUUGGCUGGCGCCUGACCGGGUCACUCGGUCAGGAGCGAGAUUCAGUGACUGGCGGACCGGAUAGCGUGCUGCUGCGCGAUCCGGGCCGUGAGAUCCAAAUCAGACAGCUACGCAUGUAGAACUGGUCGGCAAUGGCUUGCGGACGGGGGUUCGAUUCCCCCCGGCUCCACCA